UAUGCAUUUUUGUUUUUUAUAUUUAUUAUUAUUAUUACAUUUAUUUAUUUAUUUGUGAUAAUACAUUUUGGUUACUUUAUAUAUGUGUUUGGCAUUUUCUCGUAUUUAGAUUUGUAGGCGAUCUUACGGUCACAUCACUGCUUUUAAAGGGACGGGUUUGGUAUCAUGAGAUUUUGGAUGUCCCCAUGUUGUUUUUUCUGCUUUUUCUAAUAAAGUGUAUUGCAUUGCAUACAAUAAAAUUGUCACAUAGUGAAG
RNAcentral lists this long non-coding RNA (255 nucleotides) under Cicer arietinum (chickpea). Its description in RNAcentral is "long non-coding RNA (CARI_LNC000320)". The record is from RNAcentral. Lineage: Eukaryota; Viridiplantae; Streptophyta; Magnoliopsida; Fabales; Fabaceae.